RNAcentral lists this ribosomal RNA (310 nucleotides) under uncultured Frateuria sp. RNAcentral describes it as "bacterial SSU rRNA". It matches the Rfam family "Bacterial small subunit ribosomal RNA", at positions 507 to 816 of the family's 1533-position model. Lineage: Bacteria; Pseudomonadati; Pseudomonadota; Gammaproteobacteria; Lysobacterales; Rhodanobacteraceae. The record is from RNAcentral.
GUGAGAAGCCGCGGGAAUACGAAGGGUGCAAGCGUUAAUCGGAAUUACUGGGCGUAAAGGGUGCGUAGGCGGUUAUUUAAGUCUGCCGUGAAAUCCCCGGGCUCAACCUGGGAAUGGCGGUGGAUACUGGAUAGCUAGAGUGUGUCAGAGGAUGGUGGAAUUCCCGGUGUAGCGGUGAAAUGCGUAGAGAUCGGGAGGAACAUCAGUGGCGAAGGCGGCCAUCUGGGACAACACUGACGCUGAAGCACGAAAGCGUGGGGAGCAAACAGGAUUAGAUACCCUGGUAGUCCACGCCCUAAACGAUGCGAAC